Molecule: long non-coding RNA, 1598 nt
Organism: Falco peregrinus (peregrine falcon)
Lineage: Eukaryota; Metazoa; Chordata; Aves; Falconiformes; Falconidae
Exons: 2
Source: RefSeq, a predicted model, not a curated record
GCGCUACCGCUGCUGCGUCAGGUAAGGCGCGGGACGGCGGCGCAGCCCCUUCAGCAGCGCAGCCGGCUCGCUGACUGACGGCCUCCGUCACCUUCGGUCGCAACGAGGCAGCAGCGGGAAGCCUCACGGGGUAAGGCACGACAGCUUAGUUCGGUAUCGUGGCUUCAACAAAGCCGAAGAGUCAGGACGCGGCCGUCUCUGGCUUGCGAGCCGGCACCGCUCACUGCAGCGCUACUGUCUCGAACGAUCUGCACCUUCGUGACUUUUUACAGUCUAAUGCAUAACAGAACAGCGGCGCUUUCAAGUGUGUGAAGCUCUUCCCUCCGUUUUCUCCUUUUACGCAGACAGACACUACUGUUCUCUACCUUUUCAGGAGGUAAACAUAGUGUGUGCUUGCCGUGUGACAGAAACCCUGGAGUGAGGUUGGAACCCCGGCGUCAGGAACCAAAGCAUAGCAAGGUGACCGCAAGUGGUUUGACUGCAUGAGAACUUUACAACUUUUCAGUGGGACUUGAAACCAAUAUGGCAAUCAACUAUUACAACUAAAGAUGAACCAGUAUUUUGCCAGAGUAACAACCUGUAUCUUAGGUAAUCGUAACUUGCAUGACUCUUCUGUUCAGACAAAUUUCUUCAGUAAUUUCAAUUGAUUGUAUGUUUUGUAAUGAACUGCACUGCAUUACUGUGCAUUAUUAAAUACUGCAUCCAUCCAUGUAGUAAACUAAUAAGUUACUACAUGAUGUGAUUCUGUAUACCUUCAUCCUUCUUUACAACAGUUAUUACAAAAUAGUAUCUUCAGCUAACACGCUAAAACUCUGAGGUUUGAACUUAAUGAAAAGCUUCCCUAGUGUUAAAAGACUGUUCAAUUUCCAGAUUUCAUAUCAUUCUGGGUCUCUGCUUAUUCUACCAGCCACUAGAAAAUGAAGAGUAACACAAGAGGGCAAAGGACACCAAUUACGUAGUAGAAGACACCAAAGAGCACCUUUUAAUUAAUGCUGAUCCAGGCUGGACUCAAGCUAGUGAUGUACUGCUGAUGAAUUCUGUCAAGCAUUAGCUUUACAUUAAAGAAUUCAGACAGCAUAGAAUGCUAAAGCUUACUAAGACUGAAGACCCAUUUGGAUCCUCCAUCAGCAAAGUUUCCAACACACUGACACCUGGGCUAGAUAGCCUCACAACGGAGCCCCUGGCAGCAAUUCUGAAUGCUGACAUAGUCUGGCAGUUGAAGGACAGUUGCAGCCGGGAGCUCUGUAAGGAUGUGGCCAGCCAUGGAGGACAAGCUUAGGCUUGCACCCUGGCUACUGCAGAUUGUCUUAAAAUUUUUAAUGAAUCUUUCUGUAUUUUGUGUUUGUUUGUGAAACAGUUAACUACAUGAAUAUCUUCUAUCCUCUAUGUUAGCAUUCCGUUAGCACUUAUUAACCAAUGAUGUAUGGGUUGCUGAGCUACUUGUCAUUGGAGGCUGUGUUACUUGAGGUCCUUAUUAUCUAGACCGUAACCAGAGCACCUGGGUUCUGUUGUGUAUAGGAUGAGUUACGGGGCAACUUGGCAAGGUAAAUACCUAGCCAUCCAACUUGGCAAUAAAACUUAUGGGUUUUGUUUCAAAA